Non-coding RNA from Erythranthe guttata (spotted monkey flower), 655 nucleotides. NCBI's taxonomy places the organism in Eukaryota, Viridiplantae, Streptophyta, Magnoliopsida, Lamiales, Phrymaceae. The record is from RefSeq and is a predicted model, not a curated record.
UAAAAAAUAAAAAUAAAAGUUCUUGGAACAAAUGCACUUAGGACCACCUGAAAUUCUCCAAAUACUAAACAGCCCUACACUUGUAUGGUAAAGUGAAGUGCCACCAAGGCUACAUCUUAAUUACAUCUAAUUGGAGGAUCAAUUCAUUCUUUAAUACUUAAUCAUGAGUUAAUCUAUAUUGAUUAAUAAUUAAUAAAGUUCAUAUGGCCAACUUAUAAAAACAAAUCAUUUGUUGCUCUCACAAUUAUCACAAGCCAGUUGUCUCACCAUCUAUAUAUCUAUCUAUCUUCUUCUUCUUCUUACAUUAAUCCCAUAAUAAUAUUAUUUUUUUUCUCAUUCUUCUUUCUGCAUGUGCUCAUAUGCCUAAAUUCCUCAUAAGAAAAAUAGCCAAAUAGAAGGAAUCUUUGAUAUAUAUAUUAUAUAUAUAUACAGACAGCACAGAUAGAUUUCCCGUGUGCUGUUCAUUUGACCAAACAAAUUUGUUUCAGAUAUUCUCUUGCAAUAGCUAUAUAGCAAAAAUAAGAGUCAAAUAAAAAAAAAUUAAUAAAUAAAGAAAAAAACCAACUAACCUAACAUGCAGAUCCUUCAAUGGCUCUCCAAGAUAGCACAAGAACCUCCAAGAGCAGCAAAUUCCAGCCCGGUCAACACGAAAAAA